GACGAACGCUGGCGGCGUGCUUAACACAUGCAAGUCGAACGGAAAGGCCCUGCUUUUGUGGGGUGCUCGAGUGGCGAACGGGUGAGUAACACGUGAGUAACCUGCCCUUGACUUUGGGAUAACUUCAGGAAACUGGGGCUAAUACCGGAUAGGAGCUCCUGCUGCAUGGUGGGAGUUGGAAAGUUUCGGCGGUUGGGGAUGGACUCGCGGCUUAUCAGCUUGUUGGUGGGGUAGUGGCUUACCAAGGCUUUGACGGGUAGCCGGCCUGAGAGGGUGACCGGCCACAUUGGGACUGAGAUACGGCCCAGACUCCUACGGGAGGCAGCAGGGGGGAAUAUUGCACAAUGGGCGGAAGCCUGAUGCAGCAACGCCGCGUGCGGGAUGACGGCCUUCGGGUUGUAAACCGCUUUCGCCUGUGACGAAGCGUGAGUGACGGUAAUGGGUAAAGAAGCACCGGCUAACUACGUG
RNAcentral lists this ribosomal RNA (468 nucleotides) under uncultured bacterium. Its description in RNAcentral is "partial 16S ribosomal RNA". It matches the Rfam family "Bacterial small subunit ribosomal RNA", at positions 28 to 507 of the family's 1533-position model. The record is from RNAcentral.